Molecule: transfer RNA, 76 nt
Filed under: Camelus bactrianus (Bactrian camel)
Lineage: Eukaryota; Metazoa; Chordata; Mammalia; Artiodactyla; Camelidae
Also listed under: 2 other names
Rfam family: tRNA
About the family: Transfer RNA (tRNA) molecules are approximately 80 nucleotides in length.
Source: Rfam by way of RNAcentral
GGAGGUAUAGCUCAGUGGUAGAGCACGUGUUUAGUUAGCAUGCACAAGGUCCAGGGUUCAAUCCCUAGGACCUCCA